Molecule: unclassified non-coding RNA, 396 nt
Filed under: soil metagenome
Description: partial contains 5.8S ribosomal RNA, internal transcribed spacer 2, and large subunit ribosomal RNA
Rfam family: 5.8S ribosomal RNA (bases 1-122)
Source: RNAcentral
GAUGAAGAACGUAGCGAAAUGCGAUACUUGGUGUGAAUUGCAGAAUCCCGUGAACCAUCGAGUCUUUGAACGCAAGUUGCGCCCGAAGCCAUUAGGCCGAGGGCACGCCUGCCUGGGUGUCACACACCGUUACCCUCGCGCCAACGUCCAUCGUUGGCCGCGGCGCGGGGCGUGCGCUGACCUCCCGCGAGCGGGGUCUCGUGGUUGGUUGAAAAUCGAGUUCGCGGUCGAGGGUGCCGUGAUGAAAUGGUGGAUGGGCGACGCCCGAGGCCAAUCACGCGCGACUCUGUCCGGNNNNNNCUCCUGGACCCCUUCGGCGUCUCCGGACGCUCUUUGGCGAGACCUCAGGUCAGGCGGGGCUACCCGCUGAGUUUAAGCAUAUCAAUAAGCGGAGGA